GUGCUCAUUACACAGUACAUGUAUUAAAACUGGAAGAAAAAAAAUAGAAGAUUAGCAUAGCCCCUACACAAGGAUGACAUGGAAAUUCAUGAAGCAUCCUGUAUUUUU
This is a small nuclear RNA of Ochotona curzoniae (black-lipped pika), 108 nucleotides long. NCBI's taxonomy places the organism in Eukaryota, Metazoa, Chordata, Mammalia, Lagomorpha, Ochotonidae. The record is from RefSeq and is a predicted model, not a curated record.